UCACUCUAGUUUUGUAGUUUAUUAGGCAGACAGGAUUUAAAUGAGAUAGCAGCAAACACGAAAGAAUACAUGGCAAAAUGUUGACAUUGGUAUUAUUCUUAUGGUGAAGAGAAUACUGCAUGUGAUUCACAUUUCAUCAGGUUCCUAUUAGCAACCAUCUCUUCUCACAGAUAUCUAAUUCCAUGAGACAAAACUGAGGAGGAAAUUUCUGUCUUCACGGAUUCUUUUCGGGGGAUCAAAGGCACAAAACAAGGCAAAAUUUCCCAACUGCAGAAAAGGACUGUAAGAAUAGUAACUAAACAUAGUAAAUGGAUUUGUCGUGAAGAACGGCUUAGAAAAAUGUAUACAUUUACUGUACCAAGUCACAAAGACAGAUUUUACAACUAACCAUUUCAACUGUAUGCUACA
This is a long non-coding RNA of Schistocerca nitens (vagrant locust), 408 nucleotides long. RefSeq lists it as uncharacterized. The transcript has 3 exons. The record is from RefSeq and is a predicted model, not a curated record. Lineage: Eukaryota; Metazoa; Arthropoda; Insecta; Orthoptera; Acrididae.